UACGAAGGGACCUAGCGUAGUUCGGAAUUACUGGGCUUAAAGAGUUCGUAGGUGGUUGAAAAAGUUGGUGGUGAAAUCCCAGAGCUUAACUCUGGAACUGCCAUCAAAACUUUUCAGCUAGAGUAUGAUAGAGGAAAGCGGAAUUUCUAGUGUAGAGGUGAAAUUCGUAGAUAUUAGAAAGAAUACCAAUUGCGAAGGCAGCUUUCUGGAUCAUUACUGACACUGAGGAACGAAAGCAUGGGUAGCGAAGAGGAUUAGAUACCCUCGUAGUCCAUGCCGUAAACGAUGUGUGUUAGACGUUGGAAAUUUAUUUUCAGUGUCGCAGCGAAAGCGAUAAACACACCGCCUGGGGAGUACGACCGCAAGGUUAAAACUCAAAUGAAUUGACGGGGACCCGCACAAGUAGUGGAGCAUGUGGUUUAAUUCGAAGAUACGCGCAGAACCUUACCAACACUUGACAUGUUCGUCGCGACUCUAAGAGAUUAGAGUUUUCGGUUCGGCCGGACGAAACACAGGUGCUGCAUGGCUGUCGUCAGCUCGUGUCGUGAGAUGUUGGGUUAAGUCCCGCAACGAGCGCAACCCUCACUUUUAGUUGCCAUCAUUAAGUUGGGCACUCUGAAAGAACUGCCAGUGAUAAGCUGGAGGAAGGUGGGGAUGACGUCAAGUCCUCAUGGCCCUUACGUGUUGGGCUACACACGUGCUACAAUGGUAUCUACAACAGGAAGCAAGACUGCGAAGUUAAGCAAAUCCCUAAAAGAUACCUCAGUUCGGAUUGCACUCUGCAACUCGAGUGCAUGAAGCUGGAAUUACUAGUAAUCGUGGAUCAGCGUGCCACGGUGAAUGCGUUCCCGGGUCU
This 856-nucleotide ribosomal RNA is filed under the name uncultured bacterium. Its description in RNAcentral is "SSU rRNA". It matches the Rfam family "Bacterial small subunit ribosomal RNA", at positions 524 to 1381 of the family's 1533-position model. The record is from RNAcentral.